AGGAUUAAGGCAAGAAGAGAAUACUAAGGUAUCAAGGAGGUAGGAAUUACAAAAAAAGCCGCCCUCUCCGGGGCUGGGGGAACAAGUGAAGAGGUUGAAAUUAUUAAAAUUUAGAAGAAACUUAGAGGAGGGAACUUACAGCAUUGAAACUCAGACCCCUGAGGAGCGGAAUUUUGUUCAGCUGGUGCUGUAAGCUUGGAGGAGCAUCCCCAUGUGGCUGGGACCAGACCUCCGAGGAGGGAGCACUGAUUGCACCAGAAUCGCAGAGUUUACAAGGAUGGGAUUGGAGUGGAAAGACGACCCAAAGUGGCAGGGCAACUGGUGAAUUUCAUUCAGUGACUGGCCAGAAGGACCCAGAGUUUAUUUUUUCCUACAAACUCAAUCAUGCCCAGAUGACUGCUGCCAUAGUCAACAUUGUGUUACCAGGCACCGGUCAGCUUGAACUCACAGAGCUCUUCAGGCCUGUCAUUUUCCUGGGUAUUCCUUCCAUCAGCUUCUCUUGCAGGCCUGGAUUUUCCUAUCAACAAAGACCUUGCAGAGUUCAUUAGUUGGAAUGGACACUUUGGGAUUCUGAGCAGCCCUUUACAACCCUCACUUUCUGUUCAGCCUUUCCAGCUGGUGACUCUUGGUAUUUAAAGUGCCUUUAAUUUUAUCCAACAGAUGUGUUAUGUCUCCUCAUUUUUUUUGCGAUUAUUUAUAAUGCUGAAUAUUCUUAAACAUGUAUUUUUGUAUGUAUGUAUGUAUAUUUCUUUAUCACAAAUACCUAGAAAUGGAAUUGCUAGAUUAAAGACUAUAUGACUUAAGAUUUUUCUAGACCUUGCUUAACAACUAUCCAUAAAGGCUAUAAAAAGUGGACAUUCCCACCAAAUGAGCAUAUAAAUAUCUCUUUUUCUCCCAUUUCCAGUAUUUCCCAUCUGACAUUUUGAAAUUUUAAAGGUUUUGCCAAUGUGAUAGGUAAAAAAUUACACCUAAUACCUGUUUUCAUUUUGCACCUCCUGGAUUUCUAACAAGGCUGAACAUCUUUCAUUAUAUUUGUUAAUUUCUAGUAUUUAUGUUUCUAGUGUAAGUAGCCUUUUCAAAUUCUUCACCCAUUUUUCCACCAUGUUGUUUAUCUGCUUCUCAAUAAUUUCUAGGAGCUCUUUGAAAAUUAAAGCAAUUAAUUUUUGUCAGUAAUAUUUUACAAAAUAUUUUUCUAAGUUUACCAACUGUUUUUUUUUUUUUUUGAUGAGGAACAUUCACACUGAGCUAACAUCUUUUGCCAAUCUUCAUCUUUUGCUUGAGGAAGAUUGUUGCUGAGCUAAAAUCUGUGCCCAUCUUCUGCUAUUUUGUAUGUGGGAUGCCUCCACAGCGUGGCUUGAUGAGCAGUGUGUAGGUCUGUGCCCGGGAUCUGAGCUGACGAACCCUGGGCAACCAAAGCAGAGCGUGUGGACUUAACUACUACAUUGCCAGGCUGGCCCCUGUCGAUUGGUUUCUAAACUCUAUGGAUUUUUAAAAUUUUUUUACUGUAUGGAAAUUUUGGAUUCUUAGAAAGUAAAAUUUUCAUGGAUUUUUUAGUGUCUUAUUAAGAAGAUUCCACUCAUGCAAGGACUACAAAUAUAUUCUUUAAAAAUUUCUUCUCCAUUCACAACAAAAUGGAUGGACCUUGAGGAUAUUAUGUUAAGCAAAAUAAGCCAGCUAGAGAACACUGUAUGAUUCCACUGAUAUUUGGAAGACAGACAAACACAUGGACGAAGAGAACUGUAU
Molecule: long non-coding RNA, 1743 nt
Organism: Equus asinus (donkey)
Lineage: Eukaryota; Metazoa; Chordata; Mammalia; Perissodactyla; Equidae
Source: Ensembl